GUCUACCACCAUACCACUCUGAACACACCCAAUCUCAUCUGAUCUCAGAAGCUAAAUAGGGUCGGGCCUGGUUUGUAUAAUAAUUGGAUGGGAGAAA
This 97-nucleotide ribosomal RNA is filed under the name Piliocolobus tephrosceles (Ugandan red Colobus). The record is from RNAcentral. Lineage: Eukaryota; Metazoa; Chordata; Mammalia; Primates; Cercopithecidae.